GUAAUCGCAAAUCAGCAAUGUUGCGGUGAAUACGUUCUCGGGUCUUGUACACACCGCCCGUCACACCACGAGAGUUGGUUGCACCUGAAGUAGCAGGCCUAACCUUAGGGAAGGAUGCUCCGAGGGUGUGGUUAGCGAUUGGGGUGAAGUCGUAACAAGGUAUCCGUACGGGAACGUGCGGAUGGAUCACCUCCUU
RNAcentral lists this ribosomal RNA (196 nucleotides) under Fusobacterium necrophorum subsp. necrophorum. RNAcentral's name for it is "partial 16S ribosomal RNA". It matches the Rfam family "Bacterial small subunit ribosomal RNA", at positions 1338 to 1532 of the family's 1533-position model. The record is from RNAcentral. Lineage: Bacteria; Fusobacteriati; Fusobacteriota; Fusobacteriia; Fusobacteriales; Fusobacteriaceae.